Zea mays is the source of this 2395-nucleotide long non-coding RNA. RefSeq lists it as uncharacterized. The record is from RefSeq and is a predicted model, not a curated record. Lineage: Eukaryota; Viridiplantae; Streptophyta; Magnoliopsida; Poales; Poaceae. The transcript has 9 exons.
GCUUCUUCACGUCCCCCCUCAAUCACAUCACCGGCACUCCCCAUUGUCCUUCAUCUGCUGCCUGCUCCUCCGCGCGGCCAUGCCCGAGCUCGCGGUCCUCGUUCUCAGCCACGCGCUCUUUCACGCGCGCCUCCGUUGCCGCUCUUGCUCCCAGACUUUGCCGUGGCCCUCUCCCGUCUCUCAUUGGCAUUUUUUUAUGUAGGGUUACUCACACUGUUACAAGGGUCAUUCAGCGCCUGUCACUGCUCUGGCUGAUAGAUUGCUUAUGGAUGGUGAAUCUAAACUGCUUGCAAGUGGAGGGUACCAAUCCACCUUCCCUACCCGUCCAGCUGCUCGAUGCCUCUGAAAUUGAUGGAGCGAUACCUAGCACGCGGUGCAUGUUGUUCUGAAGAUUCUGCUGCUGUUGGUUGCCAUUCACCCUGACAGUAUUGCCAGUGGCACCGUCAACUAUUUCUUCCCUCUCCGCCCGAGCCUGCAGAUGAAUGUUUGACGGCACUUCUCGCCUACUGUCCUCACUGGUGUUUCCAAAGUCUGCAGUGAGUUCGGUCUCAGCUCUAAUUAACGAGGAAGUCAUGCUAGGCACCCUCUGGUCUUCUCGUCUCCAACCAACCACUACCGGCGUGUGGAUGAUAGCAGGUUAUCUGUUGCGUGGCAUAAAUCGUCCCUGUUGGUGAGCUGUUCCAAAGACUCAAAGGUUAAAGUUUGGGACACAGUGGCUCCUUCGAGUGGUUCAUCACCAUGUGUAGGCAGUGCUCACCUCAACUCAAACAGGCCACCAAUUGCUAUGAAAUGCCAUGAAUCCCUUUGCUAUAUUGCUGCUGGAGCUCAAGUGACAGCGAUUGACUUGAGGACAAUGAAGAAGGCUUCUGUCCUUGCACUCCAGAACCACAGAAUACUUUCUUACGGAUACGUCAAUGGCUGUGCAGUCCAAAAAAAUGAAGAGAAGGGAAUUUGACAUUGUCGUUCAAGCUUCAACAUUGAUCACUUAUUGGUUUUCAGGAAGUCUUUCUGAAUGUCAGUUGCUAUAGGAUUAUUUGAACAACAUCUCUUCCAAUGGUGAUAUAUUUUAUGAUGCUCAGAAUGAUUUCUUGACACCUGAAUGGGACAGUGAGAAUUUACAAGUGGUACUGAUGAUUCUAUCCAUGUUCAAAUCAUCAAGAUAGUCAUCAGGUUCCUUCAGUAAUUCAAACCAUCACUAAUCCCUUCUGACGGGCUAUAUAUUCUAUCGGACCAGGCACAACUAUCCAAAUUUCUUUUCUAUAUAACAAACGCGGACGUAAAGUUGCUCAACCACGCUGUCCACGUCGCUCCUCCGUUUCCCAGCCAUUGGAUCGGCAACCAACGACACAAGAGAAUUCCGUGCGAUUGUUUCUUAACGUGAAGUUUCUGGACAGCGCCGGACAGAUAGAGAGAAUAGAAGAAUAUACACAUCUUCUUCCUCUCGCUUCCAAAGGUGAUGCCUUCCACGGAGAGGAGAUCGUGCGACCAUGAUGGCAGCGACUCUUGAUUUUGCCCAUCUUCCCACGCUCAAACGGAUAACAGUCUCCUUCCUUCUGUCUCUUCCAAUCGUCUCUUCCUAGUUCCAUAACACUCUCACAACACGCUAGCAGGACACUCAUUCUCUCAAUCGGCUCUUCCCGCUGCGCUACACGCCACCAAGAGCCUCCCCAACUCCUCCCCGUCAAACGGCGCCGCGUCGCAAGGAGCACAACCACCCCCCGUCUCCUUCCUCAGACGCUGUCGCGUUUCUCGCGCGGUGCGCCCCCUCCCUGAAAUUCUUAUAUACAGAGCAAGGAGCAAAUAUGGGAUUCCAUGAUGUCCACGUCGCUAUUUUUUGACGGCUCAACUUGAUUGUGCCGUGAAUUGUCUGUUAGCUAGGGAGUCAUCAUUUCUGUUUUGGCCUCUAAAAUAACGUUUACAGCUGGAACCGAAGUAUGCUUGACAAAUGGUUAUUGCCCACGGAAGCUUAAAUACUUGGUGCUGAACUGCUGAAGUAUGAUGUCUCACUGAAAAACAACGAGAUGGCAAUGAGAAGUGUUCAGGAAGAGGGGUAAUAUUUACUCAGAGCAGCAAAGGAAGGUCGCCCCACCAAGCUGCCAUGAUAUUCCUCCACUUACCAGUGUUUCAAAUUCCAAUGACAUCAGGUUGAAGAAAGGAACUUCACACAUGAAAAGAGACGAUCCGGACGACCAUGAAGAUUAAACGUUGCUGUUAAGAAAAGCCAUAUUUUCUGUAUUGCUUCUAAGCUGUUUUAUGGCCUUUAAACCAAUACUUUUGCUUGGCAUAUAUGUAGCUAUAACUAUUGUAAUAUAAUCUCUGAGCUUCUCAUGCUGCUAUUCAACAUAUCAUUACUCCUACCAAUAUAUGUACAGUUUCAGUUGACUUGCUUGCUUUC